This 304-nucleotide unclassified non-coding RNA is filed under the name Hevea brasiliensis (rubber tree). The record is from RNAcentral. Lineage: Eukaryota; Viridiplantae; Streptophyta; Magnoliopsida; Malpighiales; Euphorbiaceae.
GCCGGCUCCGCCGCCCGGCGCUGCCCCCUCGAGCUCGAGGCGCCUAUUCUUGAGGCGAUCUCUGAUGGCGGACAUGAAGGCGGCUAGUUUCUUAAGCCGAUCCCUUUCGGCAUAAGACUCCUCGAGGCGGCGACGGAGGUCGGCAGCACGGGCCCGCUCCCGCUCGAGCUCCGCCAUGGACUCGGCGAGGCGGGCUCGAGCCGCGGAAAGAUCGGCAUCGGAGACGAUGAGCCUGGCGCGAGCCGUGGCCGGCGAUCGGAGGUCGUCACGGAGCUGCCCCUGGCACAUUUUCUCCUGAUUUUUU